Molecule: non-coding RNA, 971 nt
Filed under: Ortalis guttata (speckled chachalaca)
Lineage: Eukaryota; Metazoa; Chordata; Aves; Galliformes; Cracidae
Description: partial 12S ribosomal RNA
Rfam family: Bacterial small subunit ribosomal RNA
Source: RNAcentral
AAAGACUUAGUCCUAACCUUACAGUUGGUUUUUACCAAACAUAUACAUGCAAGUAUCCGCACUCCAGUGUAAAUGCCCCAACACUCUUUCACCAAGACAUAGGGAGCAGGUAUCAGGCACACCCUAAACCGUAGCCCAAAACACCUUGCUAAGCCACACCCCCACGGGUAUUCAGCAGUAAUUAACAUUAAGCAAUAAGUGAAAACUUGACUUAGUUAUAGUAAACCAAGGGUUGGUAAAUCUUGUGCCAGCCACCGCGGUCAUACAAGAGACCCAAAUUAACUGUCCAUCCGGCGUAAAGAGUGGCAAGAUGUUAUCCCCCCAACUAGGAUCAAAGUGCAACUAAGCUGUCAUAAGCCCAAGGCGCACCUAAACCCACCCCAAGAUCCUAGCUUCUACGACUAAUUUCAACCCACGAAAGCUAGGACACAAACUGGGAUUAGAUACCCCACUAUGCCUAGCCCUAAAUCUAGAUACUUCCCCUACCAAAGUACUCGCCCGAGAACUACGAGCACAAACGCUUAAAACUCUAAGGACUUGGCGGUGUCCCAAACCCACCUAGAGGAGCCUGUUCUAUAACCGAUAACCCACGAUGCACCCAACCACCUCUUGCUAAUGCAGCCUACAUACCGCCGUCGCCAGCUCACCUCCCCUGAGAGUUCCACAGUGAGCUCAAUAGUCCCCUCCCCACUAACAAGACAGGUCAAGGUAUAGCCUAUGAGGUGGAAGAAAUGGGCUACAUUUCCUAACAUAGGACACACGGAAAAGGGCGUGAAACCGCCCCUAGAAGGAGGAUUUAGCAGUAAAGCUGAACAAUAGAGUCUACUUUAAACUGGCUCUGGGAUACGUACAUACCGCCCGUCACCCUCUUCACAGGCCUAUCCACCCACAUAAGUAAUCAACUCCACAAUAAGCCAAAGACGAGGCAAGUCGUAACAAGGUAAGUGUACCGGAAGGUGCACUUAGAACAU